Molecule: ribosomal RNA, 555 nt
Filed under: Triticum aestivum (bread wheat)
Lineage: Eukaryota; Viridiplantae; Streptophyta; Magnoliopsida; Poales; Poaceae
Description: partial small subunit ribosomal RNA
Source: RNAcentral
AUGGCUAUGGGGCAGGAGAGGCGCAUCAAGCUUCUCAUGGCAGUUGUCCUGCUCCUCACCUUGGCCAAAGGGAGCAGCUGCAACAGGACAUGCACCGUGGCGGACCUGGAGAUACGGCACAUCCAGGUCGACAGCUACACGCAAGAGCAAGAGCAGCAGCACAUGAACUCCGUCGGCGGCGGCGGGCGCAAGCUGAAGCAGCUGCCGAUGGUCAUGGCGGUGUGGGUGUACAACCACUGCCCGUGCAUGGUGGACAACGUGGUGAUCUACGCGCCCCACGGCUUCUCCACCAUCUACGCCAACGGGACCGACGAGAGGAUCUUCUCCAAGGUGACGGAGCACCUCUACCUCAUCCACCACGCCGGCCCGCUCCUGCCGGCGGCGAGCUGCCCGCGUUUUCCCCCCUCGCCGCCCGAGAACACAUCUGCCUCCGCCGCCGGCCCGGUCGAUGGGAAGGCGCAAACUGAAGAUUUUAGCUGCCCGUCGACCGCUUUCUUCUAUACCUGGUACGAUGAGAUCGAGCUCAAGCCUGCCUUCCUCGUGCCUCACUGCUAG